Molecule: long non-coding RNA, 1112 nt
Organism: Limulus polyphemus (Atlantic horseshoe crab)
Lineage: Eukaryota; Metazoa; Arthropoda; Merostomata; Xiphosura; Limulidae
Exons: 3
Source: RefSeq, a predicted model, not a curated record
GACUGCCGAUGAUUAGCCGUAGACUGGUAACAGGGAUGUAGAAGUAAAGCACGUUUAAUAUAUAACGGUUACAAAAAACUUCAUAGACGUUGCUUUGUGUUGAGUUUAUUUGUAAUAAUUAGGAAUAAAAAAAUUCUUGGUUCCUUUCAUGACUACUAGAGGUUGAAAUCUAUAAGAUGAGCCAUUAUCAAGGCUGUUACCAAAACCCACCAACAGCACCUCCACCUGCUUAUUAUCCAUCUCCACAUCCACAACCAGGCUGGAAUCCUAAUGUUCCUCCUCCCUAUCCUUCUGGGAAUUAUCAGGGACCUCCUCAGUAUGGAAAUGUGACAUAUGGGCCACCUAAUGGACCACAAGGUUAUACAAGUUUUCCUCAGCAACCUAUUAUGACACCAAAUCCCACUGGAUGGGGCCCUGCCUACCAGCCAACACACACAACAGUAGUUAUGACAGAAAACAGAUCGAGCAACAAUGAUAGAAUGGCGGACUGUUGUUUAAUAGCUUGCUGUUGGUCAUUGUUGUGUUGUUGUCUCCUAGAGGACUGAUGAAAAAUUUGUGAACCUUUUCAAAGCCUCCUCCUCUUCGUCGGUGGCUCGGCAGUACGUCUGAGGACUUAUAGCGUUAAAAAUCAGGUUUUGAUACCCGCGGUGAGCGCAGCACAGCUAUCCCGUUUUGUAAUUUUGUUUUUAAAACAAAAACAAACCCUUUGAAUAUAUUUUUGCACUUUAGAACAUCAAAAUAAUUAUUAUCUUAGUGAAAGAAAAAAAGGCUCUUAGCUUAUUGUCACCGGAAUUAUAAAAACAAACACAAUUAUGAAACUUUGAAUUAUUGCGUACUUCUAGAUUCUUCAAUUGUUUUUUGUUUUUUUAUAUAUGUUGAUAAAACGACAGUAAGCGAAAAAGUAAAGAUUUAAUGACUGUUUUGCUCAGUAGGUGGAGUUAUUAUUUUUUACAUGAGGUCAUUAGUCUGGUUAUUAAAUAGAACUUUAAUUUAGAUUAUUGUUGCCUUCUAGAUUCCAUCCUCUUUGUAAUAGAAGUGUAAAUUGUUUUGUUGUACUUUCACUUCACUAUUGUUUGGAUAAAAAGACGAUAAACGAAAAGAUUUACAAAAUA